Molecule: ribosomal RNA, 559 nt
Filed under: uncultured bacterium
Lineage: Bacteria
Description: bacterial SSU rRNA
Rfam family: Bacterial small subunit ribosomal RNA
Source: RNAcentral
AAUAGAUACCCGGGUAGUCCACGCCGUAAACGAUGGAUGCUAGCUGUUAGAAGUAUCGACCCUUCUAGUAGCGAAGCUAACGCGUUAAGCAUCCCGCCUGUGGAGUACGGUCGCAAGACUAAAACAUAAAGGAAUUGACGGGGACCCGCACAAGCGGUGGAGCGUGUUCUUUAAUUCGAAGGUAAGCGAAGAACCUUACCAAGGCUUGACAUCCUGCGAAGGCAUCCGAAAGGAUACUGUGCCCUCGGGAACGCAGUGACAGGUGUUGCAUGGCCGUCGUCAGCUCGUGUCGUGAGAUGUUUGGUUAAGUCCAUUCAACGAGCGCAACCCUUUUAUUCAGUUGGAUUUUUCUGAAUAGACUGCCCCGGUAACGGGGAGGAAGGAGGGGAUGAUGUCAGGUCAGUAUUACCCUUAGGCCUUGGGGCUAGAAACACGCUACAAUGGCCGGUACAAAGGGUCAGCCAAGUCGCGAGACGGAGCAAAUCCCAUCAAAGCCGGUCCCAGUUCGGAUAGGAGGCUGAAACUCGCCUCCUUGAAGUCGGAAUCGCUAGUAACGGUG